AUGCGCUUCCAUUCCUCCGUCCUGCCGCGGUACCGACGGUACACGCUGUUCUGCUGCUGUCUCUGGACCGGAGCGUCAUCGAGAGGGCGCAGAAGACAGCUGAACUGUCAGCUACGGUGCGAGACCUGGUCCACCCUCGGUCAGCCUCGCACUCCGGCCGUUCCUCCAGAGGAUGGGACGAACGACGCGGAAACUUCAGGCGCCCAACUGCACCGCCCGCCUCGCGGAGCCGGUCUCCCGCUUCGGCUCCACCUCAGCGGGGCCAGAGAGUUGGCAGCCAACGGUUCCGAAAGAGCCAGCAGACACCGUCUUGGCAGUCACAGGCGCAGGAACCUCGCCGAAAGCAAGCACGAAAAUGACUCAUUGGGGGGGAAUGUGUGUGCUUAUGACUGUAAUGUUGAUGAUGUUGGUUUUGAAAUAAAACCCAAAAAAUGUCACUUAGAGAGCACAGUCCUACAGUCCUCUGCAGAAUCCUCUGCCGAAUCCUCGCACACGUUCCCCACACCAAGCACUGAGACACAUCUGCAUGUUCACGCAGUCAGUCAUAUUACGCGGCCAGCUGUGCGGGUGCGCUCCAUUCGCGCACCGGCCCCAGCCUCUGGCCAGGCCCAACUCAUUCUGCUUCCCCCACAACGUAGGGUGGGACGGGAUGUCACGGCGCUGUCGCGACCGCGCUCAGUGACACAGUGCGCGGCUCCAUCCGCUGGCAUUUUGUCGUACCCGUUCACGGGCCUGGCUCCCACUCAUCCUUGGACUCCACUCUCCGCGGUGCGGAUCAGCUUCCUCCGGCUGUUCCACACUCGCCCUUUCGAGCGCAGCCCUCCAUGGUUCACUCCCAGUUCUCUGGUGCGAGCGAUGGUGGUAAGGGCGCGAACCCAGUGCUCAGGCGUUGUUCACGUGACCUCGAACAUGCGUCCGCUGUCGGAACGCGCACACGAGUGGCGCCGCCUUUGUCUCAUGAGCAAAUGGAUAUCGGAGAUCAUUCAUUGCGGUCACACACUUCAUUUUCAGGCCACUCCACCUCCCUUCAACGCGAUCGUGGAGACGACGUUCACAUCACAGGUACAGUCUAAGGCCCUGUUUCUAGAGCUGCGGGAACUUCUGUCCAAGGACGCAAUUUCCCAAGCCCCUCGCGGACAAGAGCUCUCAGGCUUCUACUCCCGCUACUUUGUAGUACCGAAGAAGUCAGGAGGAAUGAGACCAAUUCUCGACCUUUCCCUGUUUAACUGCUCCAUAGCAGUGAUGCAUUUCUGCAUGUUAACAAUGAGGCAAGUCCUGGAAUACGUGCGCUCCGGGGACUGGUUCACGUCAAUAGACCUGAAAGACCCAUACGUCCACAUCCCAGUAAUUCCCAAGCUCCGGAAGUUCCUGCGCUUUUCAUUUCAGGGAGUUCAAUACCAGUUCAAUCGUCUCCCUUUUGGCUACUCGCUAGCCCCGCGCACCUUCUCCAAAUGUCUGGAGACCACUCUGCAGCCACUGCACACGGUGGGAAUGAGGGUUUUAUUUUACCUGGACGAUCUGCUCCUAUGCGCCCGGUUCAAGGACGAGGCGUCAGAGCAAACCAGGAAGUUAAUAGAGCAUCUGUCAACCCUGGGGUUUUCCAUAAACUGGGAGAGGAGCUCCAUCCUUCCAUUCCAGUCGAUUGUGUUUCUCAGGGUGGAGCUGAACGCCUCUCUAAUGGGAGCAGGUUUGUCUCCAGCGAAAGCGGCAGAUCUCACCACGGUGAUCUCCCGCGUGCAACCCCGCAAGAUCGUGAGAGCCCAGUUACUCAUGAAACUUCUGGGCAUGAUGGCUGCAGCCCACGCUGUGGUGCCGCUAGGUUUACUGCACAAGAGGCCCCUGCAGCGUUGGUUCUUCCGCCUCCGGGUACACCCGAUACGUCAGAAGAGACGUAUGUUGAGGGUUUCCCCUUCGGGGGGCGGGGACCUCGCUCACUGGGGGAAUCCUUGCAUCCCCUCACACGGGGUCUCCAUCGGACGUCCUACGUCACACGUAUCUGUGUUUACGGAUGCGUCACUGUUGGGAUUGGGGGGGGGUGCACGUGCUUGUCCCAUACGGUGGCAGAUCGCUGGCCCUCCCACACGCACAAGCACAUAAAUGUGUUGGAGCUUAUGAUAGUGAGGAAUGUGAUCAGACACUUCGCUGCCCUUCUCGAGGGCCGUCACGUUGAAGUUCACACAGCCAACCAGGUGGCGGCUGCCUACAUAAAUCGCCAAAGGGGAGUUCGGUCCCUCCCACUAUUGCGCGUAGCCACAGAUUUGCUGUGUUGGGCACAUGUCCACCAGCUGUCCAGCAAAGCCACCUAAAUUCCGGGGGUCUUGAAUGUGGCAGCAGACGUCCUGUCGAGAAGGGGACCCUGCGACUCCGACUGGCGUCUGCAUCCCGCACUGAUAUCACAGAUCUGGAUCAGGUUCGGAGAACCAUCUGUGGAUCUGCUCGCAGCUCGCGAAAACGCUCAGUGUCGCCUGUGGUUUUCCCUGAGUCCCCGGGACCACCCUCCGCGCGGAUCGGACGCCUUCUCUCACCAGCCCUGGCCUCAUAUGCUCCUAUAUUCGUUUUCCGCCAGUCCCACUGAUUCCCCUUCUCCUGGACCGAGUUCGGUCAGAGCGGCUCUCAGUAAUUCUGGUGGCUCCCAGACGCUUGUCCGCGUCAUGGGUUCCAGACCUGCAAGCGCUACUGUCCGGCUCCCCGUGGAGGGCGGACGCCCUUCUCCAGGCGGAUGGGAUAAUCAAACAUCCUCACGGAAUAGGCCAACGGCUGUGGGUCUGGCCGCUGAGCGGUCAUGCUUAGGGGCUUCUGGCCUGCCGCAUGAUGUGGUCGCCACGAUUCAGAGUGCGCGGGCGCCCUCUACCGUCGCAUCUUAUGCUGCUAAAUGGGCAGCUUUCCAGAACUGGUGCACAGAGCGAAAUGUUCAAGCGCUCUCCUGCCAACUGGCGGAUGUCCUAUCGUUUCUGCAGAUACUGAUGGACAGAGGCCUCACAUUCAGCACUAUUAAAACAUGUGCUGCAGCUAUCUCAUCCUGUCGCCAGGGUUUUGGAGGUAGUUCUGUUUUCAAUCAUCCUCUCACUCAAGUUCCUGUCACUCAGAACUGCCUUGCUGCUGGGCUGGCAUCAGUCAAGGGAGUGAGCGACCUAACCGCCCUCCCAAUGGCUCCCGCAUGCCUCAGGGUCCGGGGAGAUGGCGGGUCUGCUGUUUUAUGCCCCAACCCAGCCUUUGAGCCCAAAAACAUUAAUACUACAGAGAUUCUUCCCUUAGGCAAGCACUGUCGACCCAGCAUCUUUCACACUGGCUAUGUGGCGCCAUUUCAUUCGCUUACACAUCAUCAGGGCAGGCCUCCUGAGACACUCAGGGCUCACUCAGCCAGAGGGAUUUCCUCUGCUAUGGCGCUCCACAGUGCUGUGUCGAUGGAAGACAUUUGUCAGGCUGCUUCAUGGGCUUCACCCUGUUCCUUUACUCAUUAUUAUUUACGAGAUGUGUCUUCAGGAUCCAUCACUCGUUCAGUGCUUGGACCUCAGCAGGCUGAGUGAAAGCACCUCAUCAGCCUUGCUUGAAUGAAUUUCAUCCUCUUGUGGAUGAUAGUUUUAGUGGGAACCCCACUCUUCUCUCUGGGUGCCUCAGCCUUUUAAGCCCUGGGUUAAGGCUGAGCAUCCCUCACUAAAAGGAGACAUGUUGGGUGUGUCCAUUGGUUGAGCUAACCAGUGUGGCGUAAACCCAUCCAGCUGCGCAUUAUUCCAAUAGCAGCUAGCUUAAGGGCUAAGACUAGACGAAAUAGAACGUUGGUUACGUAUUGUAACCCCAGAUUCUAUGAGUCUAGUCGCAGCCCUUAAGCCACUGGCCCCACUGGUUCUGUUAGGACUAAGAGCCAUCGGAGGCGAACAGUGGAGUCGCUCCACUUAUAUA
RNAcentral lists this long non-coding RNA (3900 nucleotides) under Nothobranchius furzeri (turquoise killifish). RNAcentral's name for it is "lncRNA (ENSNFUG00015012449.1)". Lineage: Eukaryota; Metazoa; Chordata; Actinopteri; Cyprinodontiformes; Nothobranchiidae. The record is from RNAcentral.